This is a long non-coding RNA of Rattus norvegicus (Norway rat), 637 nucleotides long. RefSeq lists it as uncharacterized. Lineage: Eukaryota; Metazoa; Chordata; Mammalia; Rodentia; Muridae. The record is from RefSeq and is a predicted model, not a curated record.
GAGGCAAACCUUAGCAUUCUGAGGCUUCUUUCUUGUACCAGAGCUCUCCAGUCUGUGGUGCUGUCAGAGAGCUCAGGGAGACAGGGCUCUUGGGUGGGGUGAGUGAGGAACCUUCCCCAGCUAGCGACUGGCCUCUCCUGGGUGCAUCUUCACCAUGACCAUUUUCUCUUUCAUUGAAGUGUCCCCGGACAGGAGAGCUGCUAGAAUCGUAUCCAGGAACUGAAGAAUGCAGGAGCUGCUGAAUCCAUGUGAUCCAAAGCUUGUAUUGUCUUAAAACAACAAAUGGUCCAGACACCCUCCUGUCCCCCAAUAUUCACUUUACACUCUUGUGUUUUGGAAGAAACCAGUAUCAAAGAAAGAGAGAAAUAAUUUCAUGAUAGUUUGUGCAAGGCUAAUCUAGAGGUUUCAGGAAACUCAAGUUGGGACUUCAAAGACCUACAUGCAGAAAGACAGGAAACCAUUUCCCAAGAAACACUACAUACUUGUACUAAGCCAGCAUCACUCACAAGAUAAAAUGUGUAAAAGUCACUUUCUACCUGGGACCCCCCCACAGUGGACCUGAAAUAAUCAAACUCUGGAUGAAAUCAAUAAAAUAGAAAUAAAAACAACAAAAACAAUAUAGAAUCAAUAAAAUAAA